AUUAAUCCAACCCCCCCUAGCCUAACAGUCUAUAUACCGCCGUCGCCAGCAUACCUUCUGAAAGAAAUAAAGUAAGCUAAACAGUUACCACACUAACACGACAGGUCGAGGUGUAACUAAUGGGCGGGUCAAGAUGGGCUACAUUUUCUAAAAUAGAAAAUACGAACUAAACUAUGAAAAAGAAACUGAAGGCGGAUUUAGCAGUAAAUUAAGGACAUAAUACUUAAUCGAAAUUAAUGCAAUGAGGUGCGUACACACCGCCCGUC
RNAcentral lists this ribosomal RNA (266 nucleotides) under Dolichophis andreanus (Andreas' racer). RNAcentral describes it as "Hierophis andreanus (Andreas' racer) partial small subunit ribosomal RNA". Lineage: Eukaryota; Metazoa; Chordata; Lepidosauria; Squamata; Colubridae. The record is from RNAcentral.